UGAACGCUGUCGGCGUGCCUAAUACAUGCAAGUCGAGCGAACAGACGAGGAGCUUGCUCCUCUGACGUUAGCGGCGGACGGGUGAGUAACACGUGGAUAACCUACCUAUAAGACUGGGAUAACUUCGGGAAACCGGAGCUAAUACCGGAUAAUAUAUUGAACCGCAUGGUUCAAUAGUGAAAGACGGUUUUGCUGUCACUUAUAGAUGGAUCCGCGCCGCAUUAGCUAGUUGGUAAGGUAACGGCUUACCAAGGCGACGAUGCGUAGCCGACCUGAGAGGGUGAUCGGCCACACUGGAACUGAGACACGGUCCAGACUCCUACGGGAGGCAGCAGUAGGGAAUCUUCCGCAAUGGGCGAAAGCCUGACGGAGCAACGCCGCGUGAGUGAUGAAGGUCUUCGGAUCGUAAAACUCUGUUAUUAGGGAAGAACAAAUGUGUAAGUAACUAUGCACGUCUUGACGGUACCUAAUCAGAAAGCCACGGCUAACUACGUG
Molecule: ribosomal RNA, 495 nt
Filed under: uncultured bacterium
Lineage: Bacteria
Description: partial 16S ribosomal RNA
Rfam family: Bacterial small subunit ribosomal RNA
Source: RNAcentral